RNAcentral lists this ribosomal RNA (2250 nucleotides) under Salmonella enterica subsp. enterica serovar Stanley. Its description in RNAcentral is "partial 23S ribosomal RNA". It matches the Rfam family "Bacterial large subunit ribosomal RNA", at positions 711 to 2925 of the family's 2925-position model. The record is from RNAcentral. Lineage: Bacteria; Pseudomonadati; Pseudomonadota; Gammaproteobacteria; Enterobacterales; Enterobacteriaceae.
AGACCCGAAACCCGGUGAUCUAGCCAUGGGCAGGUUGAAGGUUGGGUAACACUAACUGGAGGACCGAACCGACUAAUGUUGAAAAAUUAGCGGAUGACCUGUGGCUGGGGGUGAAAGGCCAAUCAAACCGGGAGAUAGCUGGUUCUCCCCGAAAGCUAUUUAGGUAGCGCCUCGUGAAUUCAUCUCCGGGGGUAGAGCACUGUUUCGGCUAGGGGGCCAUCCCGGCUUACCAACCCGAUGCAAACUGCGAAUACCGGAGAAUGUUAUCACGGGAGACACACGGCGGGUGCUAACGUCCGUCGUGAAGAGGGAAACAACCCAGACCGCCAGCUAAGGUCCCAAAGUCAUGGUUAAGUGGGAAACGAUGUGGGAAGGCCCAGACAGCCAGGAUGUUGGCUUAGAAGCAGCCAUCAUUUAAAGAAAGCGUAAUAGCUCACUGGUCGAGUCGGCCUGCGCGGAAGAUGUAACGGGGCUAAACCAUGCACCGAAGCUGCGGCAGCGACACUGUGUGUUGUUGGGUAGGGGAGCGUUCUGUAAGCCUGUGAAGGUGUGUCGUGAGGCAUGCUGGAGGUAUCAGAAGUGCGAAUGCUGACAUAAGUAACGAUAAAGCGGGUGAAAAGCCCGCUCGCCGGAAGACCAAGGGUUCCUGUCCAACGUUAAUCGGGGCAGGGUGAGUCGACCCCUAAGGCGAGGCCGAAAGGCGUAGUCGAUGGGAAACGGGUUAAUAUUCCCGUACUUGGUGUUACUGCGAAGGGGGGACGGAGAAGGCUAUGUUGGCCGGGCGACGGUUGUCCCGGUUUAAGCGUGUAGGUGUGUGUUCCAGGUAAAUCCGGUUCACUUUAACACUGAGGCGUGACGACGAGGCACUACGGUGCUGAAGCAACAAAUGCCCUGCUUCCAGGAAAAGCCUCUAAGCAUCAGGUAACAUCAAAUCGUACCCCAAACCGACACAGGUGGUCAGGUAGAGAAUACCAAGGCGCUUGAGAGAACUCGGGUGAAGGAACUAGGCAAAAUGGUGCCGUAACUUCGGGAGAAGGCACGCUGACACGUAGGUGAAGUGAUUUACUCAUGGAGCUGAAGUCAGUCGAAGAUACCAGCUGGCUGCAACUGUUUAUUAAAAACACAGCACUGUGCAAACACGAAAGUGGACGUAUACGGUGUGACGCCUGCCCGGUGCCGGAAGGUUAAUUGAUGGGGUCAGCGCAAGCGAAGCUCCUGAUCGAAGCCCCGGUAAACGGCGGCCGUAACUAUAACGGUCCUAAGGUAGCGAAAUUCCUUGUCGGGUAAGUUCCGACCUGCACGAAUGGCGUAAUGAUGGCCAGGCUGUCUCCACCCGAGACUCAGUGAAAUUGAACUCGCUGUGAAGAUGCAGUGUACCCGCGGCAAGACGGAAAGACCCCGUGAACCUUUACUAUAGCUUGACACUGAACAUUGAGCCUUGAUGUGUAGGAUAGGUGGGAGGCUUUGAAGCGUGGACGCCAGUCUGCGUGGAGCCGACCUUGAAAUACCACCCUUUAAUGUUUGAUGUUCUAACGUGGACCCGUGAUCCGGGUUGCGGACAGUGUCUGGUGGGUAGUUUGACUGGGGCGGUCUCCUCCUAAAGAGUAACGGAGGAGCACGAAGGUUGGCUAAUCCUGGUCGGACAUCAGGAGGUUAGUGCAAUGGCAUAAGCCAGCUUGACUGCGAGCGUGACGGCGCGAGCAGGUGCGAAAGCAGGUCAUAGUGAUCCGGUGGUUCUGAAUGGAAGGGCCAUCGCUCAACGGAUAAAAGGUACUCCGGGGAUAACAGGCUGAUACCGCCCAAGAGUUCAUAUCGACGGCGGUGUUUGGCACCUCGAUGUCGGCUCAUCACAUCCUGGGGCUGAAGUAGGUCCCAAGGGUAUGGCUGUUCGCCAUUUAAAGUGGUACGCGAGCUGGGUUUAGAACGUCGUGAGACAGUUCGGUCCCUAUCUGCCGUGGGCGCUGGAGAACUGAGGGGGGCUGCUCCUAGUACGAGAGGACCGGAGUGGACGCAUCACUGGUGUUCGGGUUGUCAUGCCAAUGGCACUGCCCGGUAGCUAAAUGCGGAAGAGAUAAGUGCUGAAAGCAUCUAAGCACGAAACUUGCCCCGAGAUGAGUUCUCCCUGAGACUUUAGGUCUCCUGAAGGAACGUUGAAGACGACGACGUUGAUAGGCCGGGUGUGUAAGCGCAGCGAUGCGUUGAGCUAACCGGUACUAAUGAACCGUGAGGCUUAACCUUACAACGCCGAAG